AUGACGGUGCUGCAGGAACCCGUCCAGCCUGCUAUAUGGGAAGCACUAAACCACUAUGCUUACCUAGAUGGGGUUUUCCCCGCAGAAUGCCUUUAUGCAGAAGUACACUCAGAAGAAGCCUUGUUUUUACUGGCGACCUGUUCUUACUACCCAGGAAAGGCCUAUAACGCAUAUAGUCUCUUCAAAGUACACAGUUUUCCUACACCGCAAUGCAAAUACCUGCUUGCAAAAUGUUGUGUUGAUCUCAGCAAGCUUGCAGAAGGGGAACAAAUCUUAUCUGGUGGGGUGUUUCAUAAGCAGAAAAGCCAUGAUGAUAUUGUUACCAAGUUUGGUGAUUCAGCUUGCUUUCCCCUUCCAUUGUUGGGACAUGUAUAUUGCAAGACAGAUCGGCUUGUCAAAGGAUCAGAAUACUACCAAAAGAGCCUUAGUUUAAAUCCUUUCAUCUGGUAUCCCUUGAAUCAUUAUGUGAAAUAGAUGAAAAUCCAUAUCCUGACCAAACAUUUAAAUUCACAUCUUUACAGAACUUUAGCAACUGUCUGCCCAACUCUUGCACAACACAAGUACCUAAUCAUAGUUUAUGUCACAAACAGCCUGAGACCUUUCUUACGGAAACACCCCAGGACACAACUGAAUUAAACAGAUUGAAUUUAGAAUCUUCCAAUUCAAAGUAUUCCUUGAACACAGAUUCCCCAGUGUCUUCUAUUGAUUCAGCUGUAAUUUCACCUGAUACUGUCCCACUGGGAAUAGGAACUUCCAUAUUAUCUAAACAGGUUCAAAAUAAACCAAAAACUGGUCGAAGUUUAUUAAGAGGACCAGCAGCUCUUAGUCCAUUAACCCCAAGUUCUGGGAUUUUGCCAUUAGAAACCCCAAGUCCUUGAGAUGGAUCCUAUUUCCAAAACUACACUGAUACACCUUCUGUAAUUGAUGUGUCAUCCACCGGAGACCCUUCAAAAAAUCUGUUGCCAGAAUCGGCCAAACUGCAGCAAAAUCUGUCUUCUCACAGAGUGGAAAUAGCCGAGAGGUAACUCCAAUUCUUUCACAAACAGAAAGUCCUGGUCCCUAAACAAGUACAACACCUCAGGUAUUGAGCCCCACUAUGACAUCUCCCCCAAAUGCACUGCAUCAAAAAAGUUCACAACUCUUUACUAGUGACAGUUCCACAACCAAGAAGAAUAGGAAGAAAUUAAAAAUGAAGUUUCCACUUAAAAUCCCAAACAGAAAAACAAAAAGUGAAACAAAUAAAGGAGGAAUAUCUCAGCCUAAUAUAAAUGACAGCCUGGAAAUUACAAAAAUGGACUCUUCCAUCAACUCAGAAGGGAAAAUAUCCACAAUCACACCUGAGAUUCAGGCAUUAAUCUACAAAAAGCAGCAGCAGAAGGCUUGAUGAGGCUUCUUCCUGAAAAGGGGAAAGGUUAUUUAGCUUUGUGUUCAUACCACUGCAAAGAAGCUAUAAAUAUUUUGAGCCAUCUACCUUCUCACCACUACAAUUCUGGUUGCGUACUGUGCCAAAUUGGAAGGGUCUAUUUUGAACUUUCAGUGUACAUGCAAGCUGAAAGAAUAUUCUCAGAGGUUAGAAGGAUUGAGAAUUAUAGAGUCAAAGCCAUGGAAAUCUACUCUACAACACUUUGGCAUCUUCAAAAACAUGUUGCUCUUUCAGUUCUGUCAAAAGACUUAACAGACAUGGAUAAAAAUUCACCAGAGGCCUGGUGUGCUGCAGGGAACUGUUUUAGUCUGCAACAGGAACACGAUAUUGCAAUUAAAUUCUUCCAGAGAGCUAUCCAAGUGGAUCCAAAUUAUGCUUAUGCCUAUACUCUAUUAGGGCAUGAGUUUGUCUUAACUGAAGAAUGGACAAAGCAUUAGCUUGUUUUUGAAAUACUAUCAGAGUCAAUCCUAGACAUUAUAAUAUAUGGUAAGUGGUAAUG
This 1922-nucleotide long non-coding RNA is filed under the name Homo sapiens (human). RNAcentral describes it as "non-protein coding lnc-UTY-18:1". The record is from RNAcentral. Lineage: Eukaryota; Metazoa; Chordata; Mammalia; Primates; Hominidae.